GUGGGGAAUAUUGCACAAUGGGCGCAAGCCUGAUGCAGCCAUGCCGCGUGUAUGAAGAAGGCCUUCGGGUUGUAAAGUACUUUCAGCGGGGAGGAAGGUGUUGUGGUUAAUAACCACAGCAAUUGACGUUACCCGCAGAAGAAGCACCGGCUAACUCCGUGCCAGCAGCCGCGGUAAUACGGAGGGUGCAAGCGUUAAUCGGAAUUACUGGGCGUAAAGCGCACGCAGGCGGUCUGUCAAGUCGGAUGUGAAAUCCCCGGGCUCAACCUGGGAACUGCAUUCGAAACUGGCAGGCUGGAGUCUUGUAGAGGGGGGUAGAAUUCCAGGUGUAGCGGUGAAAUGCGUAGAGAUCUGGAGGAAUACCGGUGGCGAAGGCGGCCCCCUGGACAAAGACUGACGCUCAGGUGCGAAAGCGUGGGGAGCAAACAGGAUUAGAAACCCUUGUAGUCC
Molecule: ribosomal RNA, 450 nt
Filed under: uncultured bacterium
Lineage: Bacteria
Description: partial 16S ribosomal RNA
Rfam family: Bacterial small subunit ribosomal RNA
Source: RNAcentral